ACGGAAGGCAGCAGUGGGGAAUAUUGGGCAAUGGGCGAAAGCCUGACCCAGCGACGCCGCGUGAGGGAAGAAGGUCUUCGGAUUGUAAACCUUAGUCAACAGGGAAGAAGCAAGUGACGGUACCUGUGGAGGAAGCCACGGCUAACUACGUGCCAGCAGCCGCGGUAAUACGUAGGUGGCGAGCGUUAUCCGGAUUUACUGGGUGUAAAGGGUGUGUAGGCGGGACUGCAAGUCAGAUGUGAAAACUAUGGGCUCAACUCAUAGCCUGCAUUUGAAACUGUGGUUCUUGAGGGUCGGAGAGGUAACUGGAACUCCUGGUGUAGCGGUGAAAUGCGUAGAUAUCAGGAGGAACACCGGUGGCGAAGGCGGGUUACUGGACGAUUACUGACGCUGAGACACGAAAGCGUGGGGAGCAAACAGGAUUAGAUACCCUGGUA
RNAcentral lists this ribosomal RNA (437 nucleotides) under uncultured Oscillospiraceae bacterium. RNAcentral's name for it is "bacterial SSU rRNA". It matches the Rfam family "Bacterial small subunit ribosomal RNA", at positions 341 to 792 of the family's 1533-position model. The record is from RNAcentral. Lineage: Bacteria; Bacillati; Bacillota; Clostridia; Eubacteriales; Oscillospiraceae.